Molecule: non-coding RNA, 777 nt
Filed under: Torleya mikhaili
Lineage: Eukaryota; Metazoa; Arthropoda; Insecta; Ephemeroptera; Ephemerellidae
Description: 12S ribosomal RNA
Rfam family: Microsporidia small subunit ribosomal RNA (bases 377-771)
Source: RNAcentral
AAGUAAAUCCAUUUUACGGGAGCUGAAAAUAAAGUUUUAUUUUGGCAAAUUUGCUUUCUUUAAGGUUGGUUUACAUGUAAAUUAAGAUCUAAAUGAGAAAGAUUUAUGCGCAGUAUUUGGUAUUAACUUUCUGGGAAACCUGGAAUUAGGAAAUUUAUAUAGUUUUGGUAAAAUUUGUGCCAGCCACCGCGGUUAGACAAAUGAGAUAAGAAAGUAUUUUUGGAAUAAGUUAGCCGAUAAUUAGUGACGAAGGUUUUUAUUUUUAGGUGAAAUUUUAAUAAAUUAGAAUGGCUAAUAUUGAAAAGGUGAAGCUUGAAAAUUUAGAAAUAUAACUAGGAUUAGAGACCCUACUAUGCUGAACACGAUAAAGAGUCCCGAGUAGUAAAAGUUAUUGGCUUAAAACUCAAAAAUUUGGCGGUGAUUUAACUAGUCAGAGGAAUUUGUCCCAUAAUCGAUAGUCCCCGUUAUACCUUACUUAAUUUUGUCUAGCUUGUAUACCGCCGUCAUCAGGAGAUUUUAAGAAAACAUCUCCGGGAAAUUGUAAAAUUAUAUGUCAGGUCAAGGUGCAGCUUAUGAUUGAGGAGGAGAUGAAUUACAAUAGAAUAAUUUAUUACGGAUGAAAAUGAAAAAUUAGAUGAAGGUGGAUUUGGAAGUAACACUCUUAAGAAAGAGGGUGUGAUAACAGCGCUAAAUCGUGCACACAUCGCCCGUCGCUCUCGUAAUUAAAUGAGAUAAGUCGUAACAUAGUAGAUGUACCGGAAGGUGUAUCUAGAUUGU